GACGGGGCCCGCACAAGCGGAGGAACAUGUGGUUAAUUCGAUGAUACGCGAGGAACCUUACCUGGGCUUAAAUGUAGAGUGCAUUUUUAGAGAUAGAAAUUCCCUUCGGGGCUUUCUGCAAGGUGCUGCAUGGUUGUCGUCAGCUCGUGCCGUGAGGUGUCGGGUUAAGUCCCAUAACGAGCGCAACCCUUAUCGUUAGUUGCCAGCUGGUAAAGCAGGGGACUCUAGCGAAACUGCCACCGUAAGGUGAGAGGAAGGUGGGAUGACGUCAAAUCAGCACGGCCCUUAUGUCCAGGGCUACACACGUGUUACAAUGGCCGGCACAGAGGGCAGCUACCUGGUGACAGGAUGCUAAUCUCGAAAACCGGUCUCAGUUCGGAUCGAAGUCUGCAACUCGACUUCGUGAAGCUGGAUUCGCUAGUAAUCGCGCAUCAGCCAUGGCGCGGUGAAUACGUUCCCGGGCCUU
This 466-nucleotide ribosomal RNA is filed under the name uncultured Sphingobacteriales bacterium. RNAcentral's name for it is "bacterial SSU rRNA". It matches the Rfam family "Bacterial small subunit ribosomal RNA", at positions 916 to 1381 of the family's 1533-position model. The record is from RNAcentral. Lineage: Bacteria; Pseudomonadati; Bacteroidota; Sphingobacteriia; Sphingobacteriales.